RNAcentral lists this non-coding RNA (23 nucleotides) under Gossypium hirsutum (cotton). Lineage: Eukaryota; Viridiplantae; Streptophyta; Magnoliopsida; Malvales; Malvaceae. The record is from RNAcentral.
AAGAGUCCGAUAAAUGUGAAGAA